GGGCUCGGUAGAGUCCAUCUUGUUGACUCCUACGAUGAGCUGCUUGACACCGAGGGUGUAGGCCAGCAGGGCAUGCUCACGGGUCUGGCCGUUCUUGGAGAUACCGGCCUCAAACUCACCAACACCAGCAGCAAC
This is a long non-coding RNA of Notothenia coriiceps (black rockcod), 135 nucleotides long. RefSeq lists it as uncharacterized. Lineage: Eukaryota; Metazoa; Chordata; Actinopteri; Perciformes; Nototheniidae. The transcript is spliced from 2 exons. The record is from RefSeq and is a predicted model, not a curated record.